RNAcentral lists this non-coding RNA (87 nucleotides) under Hyphomicrobiales bacterium. RNAcentral describes it as "Rhizobiales bacterium Fluoride sequence". It matches the Rfam family "Fluoride riboswitch aptamer (crcB RNA motif)". The record is from RNAcentral. Lineage: Bacteria; Pseudomonadati; Pseudomonadota; Alphaproteobacteria; Hyphomicrobiales.
CGCCGCGAUGGGGAUGGGGUUCCCCCGAAACCGCCCAACGCCGCGUCCAGAACGAUUGGCGUAAGGGCUGAUGACUCCUGCCGAACA